Molecule: ribosomal RNA, 1450 nt
Filed under: Bacillus sp. DV9-31
Lineage: Bacteria; Bacillati; Bacillota; Bacilli; Caryophanales; Bacillaceae
Description: bacterial SSU rRNA
Rfam family: Bacterial small subunit ribosomal RNA
Source: RNAcentral
CUCAGGACGAACGCUGGCGGCGUGCCUAAUACAUGCAAGUCGAGCGGAACUUAGAAAGCUUGCUUUCUAAGUUUAGCGGCGGACGGGUGAGUAACACGUGGGCAACCUGCCUAUAAGACUGGGAUAACUUCGGGAAACCGGAGCUAAUACCGGAUAAUAUAAAAGAUCACAUGGUCUUUUAUUGAAAGAUGGCUUCGGCUAUCACUUAUAGAUGGGCCCGCGGCGCAUUAGCUAGUUGGUGAGGUAAUGGCUCACCAAGGCGACGAUGCGUAGCCGACCUGAGAGGGUGAUCGGCCACACUGGGACUGAGACACGGCCCAGACUCCUACGGGAGGCAGCAGUAGGGAAUCUUCCGCAAUGGACGAAAGUCUGACGGAGCAACGCCGCGUGAACGAUGAAGGCCUUCGGGUCGUAAAGUUCUGUUGUUAGGGAAGAACAAGUAUCGUUCGAAUAGGGCGGUACCUUGACGGUACCUAACCAGAAAGCCACGGCUAACUACGUGCCAGCAGCCGCGGUAAUACGUAGGUGGCAAGCGUUGUCCGGAAUUAUUGGGCGUAAAGCGCGCGCAGGCGGUCCUUUAAGUCUGAUGUGAAAGCCCACGGCUCAACCGUGGAGGGUCAUUGGAAACUGGGGGACUUGAGUGCAGAAGAGGAGAGUGGAAUUCCACGUGUAGCGGUGAAAUGCGUAGAGAUGUGGAGGAACACCAGUGGCGAAGGCGACUCUCUGGUCUGUAACUGACGCUGAGGCGCGAAAGCGUGGGGAGCGAACAGGAUUAGAUACCCUGGUAGUCCACGCCGUAAACGAUGAGUGCUAAGUGUUAGAGGGUUUCCGCCCUUUAGUGCUGCAGCUAACGCAUUAAGCACUCCGCCUGGGGAGUACGGUCGCAAGACUGAAACUCAAAGGAAUUGACGGGGGCCCGCACAAGCGGUGGAGCAUGUGGUUUAAUUCGAAGCAACGCGAAGAACCUUACCAGGUCUUGACAUCCCGUGACAACUCUAGAGAUAGAGCGUUUCUCUUCGGAGAACACGGUGACAGGUGGUGCAUGGUUGUCGUCAGCUCGUGUCGUGAGAUGUUGGGUUAAGUCCCGCAACGAGCGCAACCCUUGAUCUUAGUUGCCAGCAUUAAGUUGGGCACUCUAAGGUGACUGCCGGUGACAAACCGGAGGAAGGUGGGGAUGACGUCAAAUCAUCAUGCCCCUUAUGACCUGGGCUACACACGUGCUACAAUGGAUGGUACAAAGGGCAGCAAAACCGCGAGGUUGAGCGAAUCUCAUAAAACCAUUCUCAGUUCGGAUUGCAGGCUGCAACUCGCCUGCAUGAAGCUGGAAUCGCUAGUAAUCGCGGAUCAGCAUGCCCGCGGUGAAUACGUUCCCGGGCCUUGUACACACCGCCCGUCACACCACGAGAGUUUGUAACACCCGAAGUCGGUGGGGUAACCGCAAGGAGCCAGC